AGCCCAGACUCCUACGGGAGGCAGCAGUGGGGAAUAUUGCACAAUGGGCGAAAGCCUGAUGCAGCAACGCCGCGUGAACGAAGAAGGCUCUUGGGUCGUAAAGUUCUGUUCUGAGGGAAGAAGAAAGUGACGGUACCUCAGGAGAAAGCCCCGGCUAACUACGUGCCAGCAGCCGCGGUAAUACGUAGGUGGCGAGCGUUAUCCGGAAUGAUUGGGCGUAAAGGGUGCGCAGGCGGUCCUGCAAGUCUGGAGUGAAACGCAUGAGCUCAACUCAUGCAUGGCUUUGGAAACUGGAGGACUGGAGAGCAGGAGAGGGCGGUGGAACUCCAUGUGUAGCGGUAAAAUGCGUAGAUAUAUGGAAGAACACCAGUGGCGAAGGCGGCCGCCUGGCCUGUUGCUGACGCUGAGGCACGAAAGCGUGGGGAGCAAAUAGGAUUAGAUACCCCAGUA
This 450-nucleotide ribosomal RNA is filed under the name uncultured bacterium. RNAcentral's name for it is "bacterial SSU rRNA". It matches the Rfam family "Bacterial small subunit ribosomal RNA", at positions 328 to 792 of the family's 1533-position model. The record is from RNAcentral.